This is a small nuclear RNA of Bos grunniens (domestic yak), 100 nucleotides long. Its record names the gene U2. It matches the Rfam family "U2 spliceosomal RNA". From Rfam's summary of the family: U2 is a small nuclear RNA (snRNA) component of the spliceosome (involved in pre-mRNA splicing). NCBI's taxonomy places the organism in Eukaryota, Metazoa, Chordata, Mammalia, Artiodactyla, Bovidae. The record is from Ensembl.
AUCGCUUCUCGGCCUUUUGGCUAAGAUCGAGUGUAGUAUCUGUCCUUAGCAGUUUAAUAUCUGGGGCUUCCCUCAUAGCUCAAUCGGUAAAGAAUCCGCC